GUUAAGCGACUAAGCGUACACGGUGGAUGCCCUGGCAGUCAGAGGCGAUGAAGGACGUGCUAAUCUGCGAUAAGCGUCGGUAAGGUGAUAUGAACCGUUAUAACCGGCGAUUUCCGAAUGGGGAAACCCAGUGUGUUUCGACACACUAUCAUUAACUGAAUCCAUAGGUUAAUGAGGCGAACCGGGGGAACUGAAACAUCUAAGUACCCCGAGGAAAAGAAAUCAACCGAGAUUCCCCCAGUAGCGGCGAGCGAACGGGGAGCAGCCCAGAGUCUGAAUCAGUGUGUGUGUUAGUGGAAGCGUCUGGAAAGGCGCGCGAUACAGGGUGACAGCCCCGUACACAAAAAUGCACAUACUGUGAGCUCGAUGAGUAGGGCGGGACACGUGGUAUCCUGUCUGAAUAUGGGGGGACCAUCCUCCAAGGCUAAAUACUCCUGACUGACCGAUAGUGAACCAGUACCGUGAGGGAAAGGCGAAAAGAACCCCGGCGAGGGGAGUGAAAAAGAACCUGAAACCGUGUACGUACAAGCAGUGGGAGCACGCUUAGGCGUGUGACUGCGUACCUUUUGUAUAAUGGGUCAGCGACUUAUAUUCUGUAGCAAGGUUAACCGAAUAGGGGAGCCGAAGGGAAACCGAGUCUUAACUGGGCGUUAAGUUGCAGGGUAUAGACCCGAAACCCGGUGAUCUAGCCAUGGGCAGGUUGAAGGUUGGGUAACACUAACUGGAGGACCGAACCGACUAAUGUUGAAAAAUUAGCGGAUGACUUGUGGCUGGGGGUGAAAGGCCAAUCAAACCGGGAGAUAGCUGGUUCUCCCCGAAAGCUAUUUAGGUAGCGCCUCGUGAAUUCAUCUCCGGGGGUAGAGCACUGUUUCGGCAAGGGGGUCAUCCCGACUUACCAACCCGAUGCAAACUGCGAAUACCGGAGAAUGUUAUCACGGG
This 939-nucleotide ribosomal RNA is filed under the name Escherichia coli. RNAcentral describes it as "partial 23S ribosomal RNA". It matches the Rfam family "Bacterial large subunit ribosomal RNA", at positions 1 to 981 of the family's 2925-position model. The record is from RNAcentral. Lineage: Bacteria; Pseudomonadati; Pseudomonadota; Gammaproteobacteria; Enterobacterales; Enterobacteriaceae.